CGGCGAUGGGGGAGUUGCCGCUGGCGCCGCUGCCGCCGGUGAAGCCUUUCCCGCCGGUGCCGCCGGUGCCGCCGUC
RNAcentral lists this transfer RNA (76 nucleotides) under Mycobacterium bourgelatii. RNAcentral describes it as "tRNA-Gly". Lineage: Bacteria; Bacillati; Actinomycetota; Actinomycetes; Mycobacteriales; Mycobacteriaceae. The record is from RNAcentral.